GGGGAUAACAGUUAGAAAUGACUGCUAAUACCGCAUAAGACCGCAUGGUAAAAACUCCGGUGGUAUGAGAUGGACCCGCGUCUGAUUAGCUAGUUGGUAAGGUAACGGCUUACCAAGGCGACGAUCAGUAGCCGACCUGAGAGGGUGACCGGCCACAUUGGGACUGAGACACGGCCCAAACUCCUACGGGAGGCAGCAGUGGGGAAUAUUGCACAAUGGGGGAAACCCUGAUGCAGCGACGCCGCGUGAGGAAGAAGUAUUUCGGUAUGUAAACUCUAUCAGCAGGGAAGAAAAUGACGGUACCUGACUAAGAAGCACCGGCUAAAUACGUACCAGCAGCCGCGGUAAUACGUAUGGUGCAAGCGUUAUCCGGAUUUACUGGGUGUAAAGGGAGCGUAGACGGAUGGGCAAGUCUGAUGUGAAAACCCGGGGCUCAACCCGGGACUGCAUUGGAAACUGUUCAUCUAGAGUGCUGGAGAGGUAAGUGGAAUUCCUAGUGUAGCGGUGAAAUGCGUAGAUAUUAGGAGG
RNAcentral lists this ribosomal RNA (528 nucleotides) under uncultured bacterium. RNAcentral's name for it is "bacterial SSU rRNA". It matches the Rfam family "Bacterial small subunit ribosomal RNA", at positions 139 to 704 of the family's 1533-position model. The record is from RNAcentral.